UAUUUUAAUAGCUUAUGUAGAGCAUAGUAUUGAAGAUACUAGUGAAAUGGAAAUUUUAAAGUAC
This 64-nucleotide transfer RNA is filed under the name Lyropaeus sp. UPOL VP2312. RNAcentral's name for it is "tRNA-Phe". The record is from RNAcentral. Lineage: Eukaryota; Metazoa; Arthropoda; Insecta; Coleoptera; Lycidae.